AGUGGACGCUGGCGGCGUGCUUAACACAUGCAAGUCGAACGAGAACGGAUUAUAGCUUGCUAUAAUUGUCAGCUAAGUGGCGCACGGGUGAGUAAUGUAUAGGUAAUAUGCCUCUUACUAAGGGAUAACAAAUGGAAACGUUUGCUAAUACCUUAUACUCCUUAUUAACAUAAGUUAAUAAGGGAAAGAUUUAUUGGUAAGAGAUUAGCCUGUAUUGUAUCAGUUAGUUGGUGGGGUAAUGGCUUACCAAGACUAUGACACAUAACUGGUUUGAGAGGAUGAUCAGUCACACUGGAACUGAGACACGGUCCAGACUCCUACGGGAGGCAGCAGUGGGGAAUAUUGCACAAUGGACGAAAGUCUGAUGCAGCAACGCCGCGUGGAGGAUGACACAUUUCGGUGCGUAAACUCCUUUUAUAUGAGAAGAUAAUGACGGUAUUAUAUGAAUAAGCACCGGCUAACUACGUGCCAGCCGCCGCAGUAA
Molecule: ribosomal RNA, 484 nt
Filed under: uncultured bacterium
Lineage: Bacteria
Description: partial 16S ribosomal RNA
Rfam family: Bacterial small subunit ribosomal RNA
Source: RNAcentral